GAUGAAGAACGUAGCGAAAUGCGAUACGUAGUGUGAAUUGCAGAAUUCCGUGAACCAUCAAAUCUUUGAACGCAUAUUGCGCUCGAGGCUUCGGCCGAGAGCAUGUCUGCCUCAGCGUCGGUAUUACCCCUCGCUUCUCAACCCCUGGUUGAUGCCUGCCUGCCUUUGCAGUUGGCUAGAAGCGGAUCUGGCUUUCCCAAUUGCCUUUGGUAGUUGGGUCAGCUGAAGCACAGAGGCUUGAGCAAGGACCCUUAUUGGGCUUCAACUGGAUAGGUAGAACUGGUCUUAGGACCAACUACACGAAGUUGUUGCUUGUGGUCUUUGUCUGGAUGCCAGCAGGAAACCUUUAUACCUUCGACCUGAGCUCAGGCAAGAUUACCCGCUGAACUUAAGCAUAUCAAUAAGCGGAGGA
RNAcentral lists this unclassified non-coding RNA (412 nucleotides) under soil metagenome. RNAcentral's name for it is "partial contains 5.8S ribosomal RNA, internal transcribed spacer 2, and large subunit ribosomal RNA". The stretch from base 1 to 120 matches the Rfam family "5.8S ribosomal RNA", at positions 35 to 154 of the family's 154-position model. The record is from RNAcentral.